AUGAAGAAGGAAGACAGGAAGAUCACUGGCUCAUCCUGUGCAUCAGGUACUCUGCUGGCUGUAGCAUGCUGUCUCCUGUCAUUGCUAUCUAACCAGGGCUGCCAUUUCACUUGCAGGAGUGGGAUGGAUGUAAGUAGCAGACAGUGUCUUCCUCAGGAAGGAAUAUACUUAGAGAUGGUAGUUUA
This 185-nucleotide long non-coding RNA is filed under the name Mus spicilegus (steppe mouse). Its description in RNAcentral is "lncRNA (ENSMSIG00000029569.1)". The record is from RNAcentral. Lineage: Eukaryota; Metazoa; Chordata; Mammalia; Rodentia; Muridae.